RNAcentral lists this transfer RNA (67 nucleotides) under Etrocorema hochii. RNAcentral describes it as "tRNA-Pro". Lineage: Eukaryota; Metazoa; Arthropoda; Insecta; Plecoptera; Perlidae. The record is from RNAcentral.
CAGAGAAUAGUUUAAUAAAAAUGUUAAUUUUGGGGAUUAAUGAUAGGAUAAUUAUUCCUUUCUCUGA